GGGCGCAAGCCUGAUGCAGCGACGCCGCGUGAGGGAUGACGGCCUUCGGGUUGUAAACCUCUUUCGCCAGGGACGAAGCGUAAGUGACGGUACCUGGAGAAGAAGCACCGGCCAACUACGUGCCAGCAGCCGCGGUAAUACGUAGGGUGCGAGCGUUGUCCGGAAUUACUGGGCGUAAAGAGCUCGUAGGUGGUUUGUCGCGUUGUUCGUGAAAACUCACAGCUUAACUGUGGGCGUGCGGGCGAUACGGGCAGACUGGAGUACUGCAGGGGAGACUGGAAUUCCUGGUGUAGCGGUGGAAUGCGCAGAUAUCAGGAGGAACACCGGUGGCGAAGGCGGGUCUCUGGGCAGUAACUGACGCUGAGGAGCGAAAGCGUGGGGAGCGAACAGGAUUAGAUACCCUGGUAGUCCACGCCGUAAACGGUGGGUACUAGGUGUGGGUUUCCUUCCUUGGGAUCCGUGCCGUAGCUAACGCAUUAAGUACCCCGCCUGGGGAGU
Molecule: ribosomal RNA, 498 nt
Filed under: Mycolicibacterium chlorophenolicum
Lineage: Bacteria; Bacillati; Actinomycetota; Actinomycetes; Mycobacteriales; Mycobacteriaceae
Description: bacterial SSU rRNA
Rfam family: Bacterial small subunit ribosomal RNA
Source: RNAcentral